CCAGACUCCUACGGGAGGCAGCAGUGGGGGAUAUUGCACAAUGGGGGGAACCCUGAUGCAGCAACGCCGCGUGAGUGAGGAAGUAUUUCGGUAUGUAAAGCUCUAUCAGCAGGGAAUAGAAAAGAAGGUACCUGAAAAAGAAGCCCCGGCUAACUACGUGCCAGCAGCCGCGGUAAUACGUAGGGGGCAAGCGUUAUCCGGAUUUACUGGGUGUAAAGGGAGCGUAGACGGCAAUGCAAGUCUGGAGUGAAAGGCGGGGGCCCAACCCCCGGACUGCUCUGGAAACUGUAUAGCUGGAGUGCAGGAGAGGUAAGUGGAAUUCCUAGUGUAGCGGUGAAAUGCGUAGAUAUUAGGAGGAACACCAGUGGCGAAGGCGGCUUACUGGACUGUAACUGACGUUGAGGCUCGAAAGCGUGGGGAGCAAACAGGAUUAGAUACCCUAGUA
RNAcentral lists this ribosomal RNA (445 nucleotides) under uncultured bacterium. RNAcentral describes it as "bacterial SSU rRNA". It matches the Rfam family "Bacterial small subunit ribosomal RNA", at positions 331 to 792 of the family's 1533-position model. The record is from RNAcentral.